This 497-nucleotide ribosomal RNA is filed under the name uncultured bacterium. Its description in RNAcentral is "partial 16S ribosomal RNA". It matches the Rfam family "Bacterial small subunit ribosomal RNA", at positions 28 to 507 of the family's 1533-position model. The record is from RNAcentral.
GAUGAACGCUGGCGGCGUGCCUAAUACAUGCAAGUCGAGCGAACAGACGAGGAGCUUGCUCCUCUGACGUUAGCGGCGGACGGGUGAGUAACACGUGGAUAACCUACCUAUAAGACUGGGAUAACUUCGGGAAACCGGAGCUAAUACCGGAUAAUAUAUUGAACCGCAUGGUUCAAUAGUUAAAGACGGUUUUGCUGUCACUUAUAGAUUGAUCCGCGCCGCAUUAGCUAGUUGGUAAGGUAACGGCUUACCAAGGCAACGAUGCGUAGCCGACCUGAGAGGGUGAUCGGCCACACUGGAACUGAGACACGGUCCAGACUCCUACGGGAGGCAGCAAUAGGGAAUCUUCCGCAAUGGGCGAAAGCUUGACGGAGCAAAGCCGCGUGAGUGAUGAAGGUCUUCGGAUCGUAAAACUCUGUUAGUAGGGAAGAACAAAUGUGUAAGUAACUAUGCACGUAUUGACGGUACCUAAUCAGAAAGCCACGGCUAACUACGUG